This 496-nucleotide ribosomal RNA is filed under the name uncultured bacterium. Its description in RNAcentral is "partial 16S ribosomal RNA". It matches the Rfam family "Bacterial small subunit ribosomal RNA", at positions 28 to 506 of the family's 1533-position model. The record is from RNAcentral.
GAUGAACGCUGGCAGCGUGCCUAAUACAUGCAAGUCGAGCGAACGGACGAGAAGCUUGCUUCUCUGAUGUUAGCGGCGGACGGGUGAGUAACACGUGGAUAACCUACCUAUAAGACUGGGAUAACUUCGGGAAACCGGAGCUAAUACCGGAUAAUAUUUUGAACCGCAUGGUUCAAAAGUGAAAGACGGUCUUGCUGUCACUUAUAGAUGGAUCCGCGCUGCAUUAGCUAGUUGGUAAGGUAACGGCUUACCAAGGCAACGAUGCAUAGCCGACCUGAGAGGGUGAUCGGCCACACUGGAACUGAGACACGGUCCAGACUCCUACGGGAGGCAGCAGUAGGGAAUCUUCCGCAAUGGGCGAAAGCCUGACGGAGCAACGCCGCGUGAGUGAUGAAGGUCUUCGGAUCGUAAAACUCUGUUAUUAGGGAAGAACAUAUGUGUAAGUAACUGUGCACAUCUUGACGGUACCUAAUCAGAAAGCCACGGCUAACUACGU